RNAcentral lists this long non-coding RNA (201 nucleotides) under Vigna radiata. RNAcentral describes it as "long non-coding RNA (VRAD_LNC001385)". The record is from RNAcentral. Lineage: Eukaryota; Viridiplantae; Streptophyta; Magnoliopsida; Fabales; Fabaceae.
AGUCCUUGUCUACUUCUCGACACCGUAAUUUUUUUCUGUUGCGGUUGAUUAAUGGGAAGUAGCCAUGGACCCAGGUUCGGUUUUGGGUUGAAAGGACUAGAGGAUUCAAAAGACGCAAGCUUUUUUUGUGAGGAAACUAACGAGAGAAGAAUGUUACACAAUGCUACCGAAAGCCUGGAUCAAAACUGCACUAAAACACAA